Molecule: long non-coding RNA, 703 nt
Organism: Solanum pennellii
Lineage: Eukaryota; Viridiplantae; Streptophyta; Magnoliopsida; Solanales; Solanaceae
Exons: 4
Source: RefSeq, a predicted model, not a curated record
AUAUAACACUUCUCCCUUUUUCUCCAAUUCCCUGCUCUGCUCGCACCAAAUUCGUCCCCAAUUUUUAGGGCUAUCACGUCAAAUUCGCCGCUUCCACUUAUCUUUUUCUUAGUUUCUCUUUGAUAGUGAGGGAUUGCAAAUUUGCUGAGAUGAUUUCUACUAUUCCUAAAUGCCAAACCCUUGUUAACUUUUCCCGUCUCAGAAGAUAGACAGGAAGCAACAAGACUUGACAUGCUUACUCUCUUGCAACGGGUGAAAGCUCAGAGAUCAACAAACGAAAAAUGAAGGGGUUUGCUUUUGCUUUGAAUUUGUUGGAGGAGUCAAAGAACGUUAUAGAUUCAAAUUUCAAGGGUGGACCAAUAUCAUAUGCAUAUCUACACACAUUUGCUGGUUCAGGUUCUCAGCAUCCAGAUAAUGCUUGGAUCGAUUCUUGAUCUCCAUUUCAACAAAAUCAGUGGUUCAGGCCAUUGAAAAGAUUCAAGUACACCUUCGAGAAGCUUGGAAAAGAUUCUCCAUGUUUUUGGUAAUUCCUCCUGUUUGAGGAUAAAUCCCACUAUUGUAUCCAAGUAUUGAAUAUGUCUAAGACAAUGUCUUAUUUUUUACUUGGGACUUUAUUGCAAGUUCUAUAUGAGACAUAUUGUAAUAAUGUAAGGGCUAUGUCCCAAACUUUGUAUCCCGAUAUUAGAUGGUUAUAUAUGAAACA